CUUUGCACACGGUUUCGGCGUCUGCGUAUAAAAGGCGAAAAGCCGGUGCUGUGGUACAAUUCAUCCCUCUCUUCGCUUUAUUUACGUACUAGUGUCUAGCUCAGAGAACUUCUCUCUAUUCUUAACUAUGGCUGAUGUUGAAAAGACCGGUUGUUGUGCUGAAGCCAAGGAAUGUGCUGCUGACAACUGCAGCACCGAAUGCAAAACUAAUUGCCACGAUGGAAAAGAAGAGUGCAAGGACAGUUGUCACAAGAAGCCUUGCGGUUGUAAGGGUACCGAAGACUGCAAAUGCUCUGAAGGGAAAUGUGGGUGCUAGCAUACGUGCAAUUUAAGGGAACGUUUCCACUUGACGUUCACAGCUAGCUAUUCGCACUUUUGUGGGUCCAUGGUAUUUUAAGUUUGCCGCAAAUCAGCACGCAAUGAAUAGCAUUUAUAGUUCAAUUUCUUUUUAUUUCUAAUUCUUAAAUGUUAUAUUUUUAAGAUCAUUUAAGCGUAUACGUGACUAAUUUGUUGAUUGUGGCUACCUGUAUUUGAAAUUAUCACCGUAUGUUAUACUAUCAGUUUGUUGCAUUUGUCUCUAUGUACCACGCAUGCGCCUAGUCGAAAUCCAGUUAUUUCAGUUUCUAAGAAUUAAAUGGUAUCAUAAAAUAAAAUUCAUUAUUCUUUGUCUGUA
Molecule: long non-coding RNA, 673 nt
Organism: Stegodyphus dumicola
Lineage: Eukaryota; Metazoa; Arthropoda; Arachnida; Araneae; Eresidae
Source: RefSeq, a predicted model, not a curated record